RNAcentral lists this ribosomal RNA (466 nucleotides) under uncultured bacterium. Its description in RNAcentral is "partial 16S ribosomal RNA". It matches the Rfam family "Bacterial small subunit ribosomal RNA", at positions 28 to 507 of the family's 1533-position model. The record is from RNAcentral.
GAUGAACGCUGGCGGCGUGCUUAACACAUGCAAGUCGAACGAUGAAGCCCAGCUUGCUGGGUGGAUUAGUGGCGAACGGGUGAGUAACACGUGAGUAACCUGCCCUUAACUCUGGGAUAAGCCUGGGAAACUGGGUCUAAUACCGGCUAGGAGCGUCCACCGCAUGGUGGGUGUUGGAAAGAUUUAUCGGUUUUGGAUGGACUCGCGGCCUAUCAGCUUGUUGGUGAGGUAAUGGCUCACGAAGGCGACGACGGGUAGCCGGCCUGAGAGGGUGACCGGCCACACGGGGACUGAGACACGGCCCAGACUCCUACGUGAGGCAGCAGUGGGGAAUAUUGCACAAUGGGCGCAAGCCUGGUGCAGCGGCGCCGCGUGAGGGAUGACGGCCUUCGGGUUGAAAACCUCUUUCAGUAUGGAAGAAGCGAAAGUGACGGUACCUGCAGAAGAAGCACCGGCUAACUACGUG